UACGAAGGGGGCUAGCGUUGUUCGGAUUUAUUGGGCGUAAAGAGCGUGUAGGCGGCCAGAUAGGUCAGCUGUGAAAACUCGAGGCUCAACCUCGAGAUGUCGGCUGAAACCAUCUGGCUAGAGUCCGGAAGAGGAGAAUGGAAUUCCCGGUGUAGCGGUGAAAUGCGCAGAUAUCGGGAAGAACACCCGUGGCGAAGGCGGUUCUCUGGGACGGUACUGACGCUGAGACGCGAAAGCGUGGGGAGCGAACAGG
This 253-nucleotide ribosomal RNA is filed under the name uncultured bacterium. Its description in RNAcentral is "partial 16S ribosomal RNA". It matches the Rfam family "Bacterial small subunit ribosomal RNA", at positions 524 to 776 of the family's 1533-position model. The record is from RNAcentral.